RNAcentral lists this ribosomal RNA (372 nucleotides) under uncultured organism. RNAcentral's name for it is "bacterial SSU rRNA". It matches the Rfam family "Bacterial small subunit ribosomal RNA", at positions 526 to 896 of the family's 1533-position model. The record is from RNAcentral.
CGUAGGGUGCGAGCGUUAAUCGGAAUUACUGGGCGUAAAGCGUGCGCAGGCGGUUUGUUAAGAUAGGCGUGAAAUCCCCGGGCUCAACCUGGGAACUGCGCUUAUGACUGGCAAGCUAGAGUACGGCAGAGGGGGGUGGAAUUCCACGUGUAGCAGUGAAAUGCGUAGAGAUGUGGAGGAACACCAAUGGCGAAGGCAGCCCCCUGGGUCGAUACUGACGCUCAUGCACGAAAGCGUGGGUAGCAAACAGGAUUAGAUACCCUGGUAGUCCACGCCCUAAACGAUGUCAACCAGGUGUUGGGAGGGUAAAACCUUUUAGUACCGGAGCUAACGCGUGAAGUUGACCGCCUGGGGAGUACGGCCGCAAGGUUA